Molecule: ribosomal RNA, 440 nt
Filed under: uncultured bacterium
Lineage: Bacteria
Description: partial 16S ribosomal RNA
Rfam family: Bacterial small subunit ribosomal RNA
Source: RNAcentral
CCUACGGUAGGCAGCAGUGAGGGAUAUUGGUCAAUGGGGGGAACCCUGAACCAGCAACGCCGCGUGAGGGAAGACGGUUUUCGGAUUGUAAACCUCUGUCCUCUGUGAAGAUAAUGACGGUAGCAGAGGAGGAAGCUCCGGCUAACUACGUGCCAGCAGCCGCGGUAAUACGUAGGGUGCGAGCGUUGUUCGGAUUUACUGGGUGUAAAGGGUGCGUAGGCGGGCCAGCAAGUCAGAAGUGAAAUCCAUGGGCUUAACCCGUGAACUGCAUUUGAAACUGCAGGACUUGAGUGGAGUAGAGGUAGGCGGAAUUCCCGGUGUAGGGGGGAAAUGCGUAGAGAUCGAGAGGAACACCAGUGGCGAAGGCGACCUGCUGGGCUUUAACUGACGCUGAAGCGCGAAAGCAUGGGUAGCAAACAGGAUUAGAUACCCGUGUAGUC